This 301-nucleotide ribosomal RNA is filed under the name uncultured bacterium. RNAcentral's name for it is "partial 16S ribosomal RNA". It matches the Rfam family "Bacterial small subunit ribosomal RNA", at positions 510 to 808 of the family's 1533-position model. The record is from RNAcentral.
AGUCGCCACGGUAAUACGAAGGGGGCAAGCGUUGUUCGGAAUUACUGGGCGUAAAGGGCGCGUAGGCGGUGUACUAAGUUAGGCGUGAAAGCCCUGGGCUCAACCCGGGAAUUGCGCUUGAUACUGGUACGCUAGAACCCAGGAGAGGUUGGUGGAAUUCCCAGUGUAGAGGUGAAAUUCGUAGAGAUUGGGAAGAACACCGGUGGCGAAGGCGGCCAACUGGACUGGUAUUGACGCUGAGGCGCGAAAGCGUGGGGAGCAAACAGGAUUAGAUACCCCCGUAGUCCCUGUCUCUUAUACA